Molecule: transfer RNA, 76 nt
Filed under: Candidatus Babelota bacterium
Lineage: Bacteria
Description: tRNA-Trp
Rfam family: tRNA
About the family: Transfer RNA (tRNA) molecules are approximately 80 nucleotides in length. Their secondary structure includes four short double-helical elements and three loops (D, anti-codon, and T loops).
Source: RNAcentral
AGGCCGGUAGCUCUAACGGCAGAGCAGCAGACUCCAAAUCUGAUGGUUGGGGGUUCAAAUCCCUCUCGGCCUGCCA